RNAcentral lists this ribosomal RNA (755 nucleotides) under uncultured Enterococcus sp. RNAcentral's name for it is "bacterial SSU rRNA". It matches the Rfam family "Bacterial small subunit ribosomal RNA", at positions 8 to 734 of the family's 1533-position model. The record is from RNAcentral. Lineage: Bacteria; Bacillati; Bacillota; Bacilli; Lactobacillales; Enterococcaceae.
AGAGUUUGAUCAUGGCUCAGGACGAACGCUGGCGGCGUGCCUAAUACAUGCAAGUCGAACGCUUCUUUCCUCCCGAGUGCUUGCACUCAAUUGGAAAGAGGAGUGGCGGACGGGUGAGUAACACGUGGGUAACCUACCCAUCAGAGGGGGAUAACACUUGGAAACAGGUGCUAAUACCGCAUAACAGUUUAUGCCGCAUGGCAUAAGAGUGAAAGGCGCUUUCGGGUGUCGCUGAUGGAUGGACCCGCGGUGCAUUAGCUAGUUGGUAAGGUAACGGCUCACCAAGGCCACGAUGCAUAGCCGACCUGAGAGGGUGAUCGGCCACACUGGGACUGAGACACGGCCCAGACUCCUACGGGAGGCAGCAGUAGGGAAUCUUCGGCAAUGGACGAAAGUCUGACCGAGCAACGCCGCGUGAGUGAAGAAGGUUUUCGGAUCGUAAAACUCUGUUGUUAGAGAAGAACAAGGACGUUAGUAACUGAACGUCCCCUGACGGUAUCUAACCAGAAAGCCACGGCUAACUACGUGCCAGCAGCCGCGGUAAUACGUAGGUGGCAAGCGUUGUCCGGAUUUAUUGGGCGUAAAGCGAGCGCAGGCGGUUUCUUAAGUCUGAUGUGAAAGCCCCCGGCUCAACCGGGGAGGGUCAUUGGAAACUGGGAGACUUGAGUGCAGAAGAGGAGAGUGGAAUUCCAUGUGUAGCGGUGAAAUGCGUAGAUAUAUGGAGGAACACCAGUGGCGAAGGCGGCUCUCUGGUC